UGAACGCUGGCGGCGUGCCUAACACAUGCAAGUCGAACGGAGUCCAGCCUUUAAGACCUUCGGGUCAAAGAGGGGAAGACUGAGUGGCGGACGGGUGAGUAACACGUGGGCAACCUGGCUCAUAGAGGGGGAUAACAGAGAGAAAUUUCUGCUAAUACCGCAUAAGCACACACUGCCGCAUGGCAGAGGGUGAAAAGAGAAUCGCUAUGAGAUGGACCCGCGUCUGAUUAGCCAGUUGGCAGGGUAAGAGCCUACCAAAGCGACGAUCAGUAGCCGAUCUGAGAGGAUGAACGGCCACAUUGGGACUGAGACACGGCCCAAACUCCUACGGGAGGCAGCAGUGGGGGAUAUUGCACAAUGGGGGGAACCCUGAUGCAGCGACGCCGCGUGAGUGAAGAAGUAUUUCGGUAUGUAAAGCUCUAUCAGCAGGGAAGAUAAUGACAGUACCUGAAUAAGAAGCCCCGGCUAACUACGUG
This 476-nucleotide ribosomal RNA is filed under the name uncultured bacterium. RNAcentral describes it as "partial 16S ribosomal RNA". It matches the Rfam family "Bacterial small subunit ribosomal RNA", at positions 30 to 507 of the family's 1533-position model. The record is from RNAcentral.